GGGCCGGUAGCUCAGCCUGGAAGAGCGCUCGGCUUGCGACCGAGAGGUUCCCGGGUUCAAAUCCCGGCCGGUCCACCA
Molecule: transfer RNA, 78 nt
Filed under: Thermofilum sp. ex4484_15
Lineage: Archaea; Thermoproteati; Thermoproteota; Thermoprotei; Thermofilales; Thermofilaceae
Also listed under: 1 other name
Description: tRNA-Ala
Rfam family: tRNA
About the family: Transfer RNA (tRNA) molecules are approximately 80 nucleotides in length. Their secondary structure includes four short double-helical elements and three loops (D, anti-codon, and T loops).
Source: RNAcentral